AUUGAACGCUGGCGGCAGGCCUAACACAUGCAAGUCGAACGGUAGCACAGAGGAGCUUGCUCCUUGGGUGACGAGUGGCGGACGGGUGAGUAAUGUCUGGGAAACUGCCCGAUGGAGGGGGAUAACUACUGGAAACGGUAGCUAAUACCGCAUAACGUCGCAAGACCAAAGAGGGGGACCUUCGGGCCUCUUGCCAUCGGAUGUGCCCAGAUGGGAUUAGCUAGUAGGUGGGGUAACGGCUCACCUAGGCGACGAUCCCUAGCUGGUCUGAGAGGAUGACCAGCCACACUGGAACUGAGACACGGUCCAGACUCCUACGGGAGGCAGCAGUGGGGAAUAUUGCACAAUGGGCGCAAGCCUGAUGCAGCCAUGCCGCGUGUAUGAAGAAGGCCUUCGGGUUGUAAAGUACUUUCAGCGAGGAGGAAGGCGUUGUGGUUAAUAACCGCAGCGAUUGACGUUACUCGCAGAAGAAGCACCGGCUAACUCCGUGCCAGCAGCCGCGGUAA
RNAcentral lists this ribosomal RNA (506 nucleotides) under uncultured bacterium. RNAcentral describes it as "partial 16S ribosomal RNA". It matches the Rfam family "Bacterial small subunit ribosomal RNA", at positions 30 to 523 of the family's 1533-position model. The record is from RNAcentral.